RNAcentral lists this non-coding RNA (111 nucleotides) under Shinella sp. WSC3-e. Its description in RNAcentral is "TPP". It matches the Rfam family "TPP riboswitch aptamer (THI element)". From Rfam's summary of the family: Vitamin B(1) in its active form thiamin pyrophosphate (TPP) is an essential coenzyme that is synthesised by coupling of pyrimidine and thiazole moieties in bacteria. The previously detected thiamin-regulatory element, thi box was extended, resulting in a new, highly conserved RNA secondary structure, the THI element, which is widely distributed in eubacteria and also occurs in some archaea. Lineage: Bacteria; Pseudomonadati; Pseudomonadota; Alphaproteobacteria; Hyphomicrobiales; Rhizobiaceae. The record is from RNAcentral.
CUUGCUCUAACGGGGUGCCCGGGGUUCUUUCCUCCGGCUGAGAGGCGGUUUCGCCAACCCGAAGAACCUGAUCCGGCUCGUACCGGCGGAGGGAUUAGACGGCACAUCCAG